Molecule: long non-coding RNA, 411 nt
Filed under: Aquilegia coerulea
Lineage: Eukaryota; Viridiplantae; Streptophyta; Magnoliopsida; Ranunculales; Ranunculaceae
Description: long non-coding RNA (ACOE_LNC000729)
Source: RNAcentral
UCUUCACUUCCUUUUCUUCUUCCUUCUUAAUACCACCUCCACCAUUAUAAAUUAUAGAUCUACACAAAAUUAAAAAACCCUAACUUGUCAAAAAUAAUUUCUCAAAACCCCUAACUUUUAGAAAUUUUAAUCCAACAUCAUCAAUUCAUCAUCAAUAGAAGAAAAAAAAAACCUAGAUUCUAACAAAAUAAAAUAACAUACCAAUUGAAUAUAAAUGACGAUCAACCAAUCAAUCGAUCUGCUACAAUUAAUAAACCCUAAUUUCGAAAUCGAAGAAGGGAAAUCAAGUUGGACUAAAACUUUACUAAUUUUUUUCCGCGAAAUCUCUCUCUCUCUCUCUCUCUCUCUCUCUCUCUCUCUCUCUCUCUCUCUCUCUCGCACUCUUUUUGUUGAAGAGCAGUAAAAAAAAAA